GCGGAUGUGGUGAAAUGGUAGACACACCAGUUUUAGGUACUGGCGGCGCGAGCUGUGGGGGUUCAAGUCCCUCCAUCCGUACCA
RNAcentral lists this transfer RNA (84 nucleotides) under Candidatus Deianiraea vastatrix. RNAcentral's name for it is "tRNA-Leu". It matches the Rfam family "tRNA". From Rfam's summary of the family: Transfer RNA (tRNA) molecules are approximately 80 nucleotides in length. Their secondary structure includes four short double-helical elements and three loops (D, anti-codon, and T loops). Further hydrogen bonds mediate the characteristic L-shaped molecular structure. tRNAs have two regions of fundamental functional importance: the anti-codon, which is responsible for specific mRNA codon recognition, and the 3' end, to which the tRNAs corresponding amino acid is attached (by aminoacyl-tRNA synthetases). tRNAs cope with the degeneracy of the genetic code in two manners: having more than one tRNA (with a specific anti-codon) for a particular amino acid; and 'wobble' base-pairing, i.e. permitting non-standard base-pairing at the 3rd anti-codon position. The record is from RNAcentral. Lineage: Bacteria; Pseudomonadati; Pseudomonadota; Alphaproteobacteria; Rickettsiales; Candidatus Deianiraeaceae.